GAUUUUGAUUGCUUAGUCACCGAACUGCCAAAGCCAUCAACGGGUGAAGCAGUGCGUGCGAUAUACGCAUACGAACGCGGAGGAGCCCUCCCUUGUGUAGGCGUGAGCGUGCGUGUUGAGUGCGCGGGCCGUCUUCACGGCCUCUCUCCCUCUCCCUCUCCCCUCCUGCGUCUCUCCUCUUCCCCUCUUGUAGUCUAGCCUCCUCCUUCCCUCCCUCCUCUCAUUGCCCCUCUGCUGGCUUUCAUCUUUCGCUUGUAUUUUCUUUGCUCUUUUUUUUCAUGUGGGUGCCUCGCUUCCCCUCCUCCACCUACUCCUGUGCCGGUUGUACGUCAUCACCCGCUUCUUUCUUGCUUUUCUUCUUCGUUUUCCCGGCUUGUUUGCGUACGUGUGUGUGUGUGUGUGGCUCUCUCUCUCUCUCGGCGCUCCAACGAGCGAUCUUCGCCGAAACCCUCCCUCCCCCCUUCUCCUCUCUGCCUCUUCCCACCGCGACACCGUCCUCCUCCUCCCAUCUCUCAAGACAUACACAUACACGCUGCGCACGUACCGCUCUACAUUCACCUAUACACACAGGCUGUUUCCUCUCUCGUUGCCGCACUCCCGAUAAGCGCGCGCGCAGAGAUUAAUUUUUUCGUUGUUAAUCGACCCCUCUUCCCACAACAACAACAGCAGCAUAAACUAAACAACAAAGAAAAGGACACUCUUUCGUCGUGUUCACAGGCGCACGCGCGCUUCCCUCUCCCUUCCUCUACCGCUGCACACACAUACACACACACACACGAAGAGGCGCAUCCACACACACCCGAGUCGCACACUCGCUCUCAGUUCUCUUUUUUUUUGCUUGCUUCAUUUAUUUAUUUUGCGCUCCUCGGGAGGGCCUCGCUUGGUUUGGUUUCUUGUGUGUGCUGCGCGCAUGAGUGUCUCGCUUUCUCGCCGUUGUGCUACGAUUUUUUUUGUUUUUUUUUUUCUCCCCCUUCACCUCUUACGUUCUCCCUCUCUUUCUUGGUGUCUCUCUCGUUUCUUGUGCCUGCCUGUCUCUAUCUGUCUCUUGGCCUGGCACUUCUUCUCUUGCUGGCGGCUGCGUAUCUUAUCUGGUGUGUGUGUCUCUCUCUCUCCCUUUCGUGUGUGCGCACACCUGGCACGCAUAACGGAACCUCUCGCUUGCACCCUCCGCCUCUGCGCAGCUCUCGCCGCUCUGACACACGCCCGGAGAGCACAUCCACUUUGUCUCCCUUCCCCUCUCUCGCGCUUGUCGUCGUUUCUCUUCCACUGAGUCGCGUGUGCCCGCCGGCGUCUCUUUCCUUUGAAAAAAAAAAACGUUUCUUUCUUUUUUUCGUCGCCUUCUUCGCGUACGCUGCUGUGAGCGCGUCUCGCCUGUGUUUCCUUGCCCUUCCCCCUUCGCGUCUUUUGCUUUGAUGAUGCCGCGGUCCAACGGGGAGGCGGCGGACGGUAGCGGAACCGUCGGCGGCACACACUCCGGUGGCCAUCAGAACAGAGUAUGUGUCGCACCGGAAAACCCUGCCCGAUCCUUGGCUACCAUGUCGAGCAGCAACAACGUGUUCAGCCUUGUCGCCGCCACGCCGGAUGUAAAUAUCAGCGACUACCAACCGCUGCAAGUCCCACGGACCACGACGGUGCGCCAUGUGACGAUGAGCAACGGCGGCGGUCUGCCGCUGCAGCGGACCUCUGCGUCGGAAUUUUCGAGUCUCGCCGGCAUUAGAAGCAUGCGCAGUGGCGCCAACACCUCGGCCGCCUCCGAAGACCAGCCGCUGCCCAUGCUGACAAUGCUACCCUUCUCUUCCGCCUCGAGCGUUACCAAGUCAGCCGGCAGUACCGGCGUUGGUGUGGAGAGCGGCAUCGGCGGGUCUGGUGCCGCCACAACGGGCGCCGCAGCGAUGACCACAAGCAUUGGCCCGUGCACCUCGUCCGCUGGUCGCUCUAUGACACUACUGGAGCGUCGAAACAAUCGCGAGCGCAGCGCUCUGAGCCUCUCAUGUUUGUCAGGGCUGAAUGUAGAGAAGCUUCAGGAAAGCAUGCGGGAAACUAGUCUCGUCUUCAAUUCUCAAGAAACACCGGAGCCUGUGUCGCAGGGAUGGUCCAAGACUGUCGCCUCGGCGGCGCUGCUGAGUGAUUACGCCAUGCCAUCUGUGCGCGCGUCGCCGCCGGGCGCGGGAGACGUGCCUCGCUCCACGGCCGCGCACUCGGCGCGGCAGGCCACCGCCAAGUUUCAGGGUCAGGCACCGCGGCCCCCCAGCAGCGGCGAAGACGGCAGCGGCCCCCGCCGCAGUCAUCCCAUUUCCACCUCGGAGUCCAGAACGAUCGAUGAGAUACCAGGAGCGCUAAAGGUAAUCGGCUACAACAUCCUGGCGAGCCGGCUAGCGUCCACCGACUUGUACCCCGCCUGCCCACCGUCGGUGCUGAGUGAAGAGUAUCGACUGGACCUCAUCAAGGAGGAGCUCCGGCGCGUUGACCCCGACAUAUUGCUCUUGGAGGAGAUCAGCGUGGCGGCGCACGAGCGCACUCUCGGGCCUUACUUGAGAACGGCGCUCGGGAUGGAGGGGCAUCACGUUGUCAUCACUGAUCGCAACGGAGCUCCUCGCUGCGCACCGCUGACGCAGCAGUCCAAGGGAGCAGCCGCGUUCUCGCCUGCUCUUGCUAUCCCUUUUGGAAUCCCCUGCAGCACUGAGAAGAGGCCGAACUCGGUGAGCAUGACGGCUACAUUAGCCGGAGCGGCUGCGUGCAAUAGUGACGCUUCCGCUCGGCGUGGCGCGGCCGGUGGCGCCGCGAACGGCUCCGGCGAUGUCGACAGGAGGAGCAACUCGCCCCAUCUGCCACAGCUCGCCGAAACGAGCUGGAGCCGCCGCUCCAGUCGGCGCAGCAGCGUCGUGGCCGCGUCUCGGUUUCCCGCGAGCUCGUGUGGCACCCCGGCCAUUUGGCAGAAACGUGGCGAGGCGUUGCCCUUGCAGCACCCGCAGCCGUUCAGCAUGCCGCAACAGGAGAUGUCGUGCUCCUCGCUCGAGGACCCGCAAAUCCAGCCCAAAGCGAUGACGGAUGAGGAGUCGAUGCAGCGAAGUUGCAGCGCAGCGGAGUUCACCCAAGGUGCCACAGCGCGCGUAAACCGGCAGACGAUGGGGUCUGGAGCGCCUCCGGCAGUACUUCGCGCGGAGAAGGCCACUGAGGAGGCCCUCGGCCACCGGCGAGUGGAAAUGGACGGAGUGAGCAUCUUUUACAAGGCGGCACGGUUCCGCGAGCUAGAGGUGAUGCCGGUGCUCUUUAACCGUCUCGCCGCCGCGGAGAAGCGACUCACCCGCUACGAGCACAAGAAGCUUCAGGUGGACUCGCACAAUGUGGCCCUCGUCGUGGUGCUGCAGGAUAUGCAGGUGAUCGGGGUAUCGCGCAUAUACGUGGUGGCUGCUGUGCAUCUCAUCUGGCAGCGCAUCAACGCACAGCUGUGGCAGGCGCAUCAGCUCCUCCGCGUCAUGGAGGGACUGAAACACAAGUACUGCAAGGGCUACGUGGACCUCGUCUACCCAAGUGGGCGUGGCUCCAUCGCGUGCGACAGCGCAGUCACCCAGCCGCCGAGCAUCAUCGACACCCCGCUGAUGCGAGAGGGAACGCGGCGGCAAGCGCAGGACGAUGUCGCACCUCAGCCAUCGCUACCAACGCCGCUACCGUUGCAGCAGCCGCGCGCGCUGUCUGCGCGGUGCCAAAGCAUAGUACCCAGCCGCGCCACUACUGAAGCCUCCGAUCCGGCUGGAGACAGCGACGGUAGCAGGCUCUUCAACGUCGCCGCCACCGAUCGCAUGCGCUGUAGGUACGCCAGUGUGUGCUCUGGCGUUGCCUCGUCGCCCACAUCGUCCGUCACAUGCAUUAUCGGCGGCGACUUUAAUGCCGAGCGCAGCGGGCCGGUCAUGGAGUACUUGCGCACCGGCAGGGUGCCAGGGGGGGCGGAGGUGAUGGAGUACUGGCGAGCACCCAAGUCGGAGUCGCCGGUGCCGCUCGACCGCACGGAUGAGCGAGGCACCGGUCGGGCGACCGCCAGGGGUGAGGUGAAUGCGCUGCGCCCCACGCCUCCGCCCCCGUCAAAGGUGCCUCCACCGACACUGUAUGGUGUACUGAACCCCGCGGGGCAGGAGAUGAUCAGGAUAUCCCCGCACAACUCUAUGCACUCCUCCUUAUGUUCUACGGGCUCGCCACCGUCGGUGCUGCCGCGUCGCGCGACCAAGUCUCCGCCCCGCAACUCCGUGAGCAACGCUGCUAGUGCUGCAGCGACCGGUAACGGUACAGGUGACGACCUCUGCCUCCAUCAGCCAUACACCCCGCUCAGCAAGCGGCCAUUCAAUCUCUACCCUAGCCGCGUCUCGGACGGCGUGCUGUCCUCGCACAAUAGGGCAGACAAUCCACUGCAGUGCCGACGAGACUUGGCGAAGGGUACCACCGUCGCCGCUCCGACGUCCCCGCGAAGGUCUGCCCUCACACCGAGUCCACAGCCUACCGAGAAUGACCUCCGCUGCAACCGCGGAAGCACAUCCCCAACUCUCUUGUCAACCUCGAGUAGCUUCAUCGACACGCCGAGCUGUGGCUGUGAUGAUGGCUGUGGCGGCGGCAGCAACCUUGCAGCGGUGGCCGCGUCGUCAUCGCAGUAUGUGCUGUUCUCUGCGUCGUCGAGCCCCGCUCGCUGUUGCAGUUCGGAUGCUCAGCUGCCACUUCUGCGACCCUCGAUGUCGAUGAACAGGACUCCCACUGUGCAUGCCGCCUCCCCAGCCUCUGCACCACAGACCUCGCCGUCGUCUGCGCGGGAGAACGGAGGCUCCGCCACCAUCCCCGAAAACCACCGCGCGUACACGCGACGGCGCACCUUACCGGACAUGAGCAACAUCGAGAGUAGUACGCUGGAACACUCCCGUAGCCGAAGUGCCAGUCAGAGCGGAAGCGUGCUGAGCACUGCGUUUCCCACGAACUGCGCAAUGCGACUCGCCGUGCACACUCGCCACGACACGCUCAGUGUGGAGUUGGGCGAGCCUGACUGGGAAAGUGAGGAAAGCCGCGGACGGACCCCCAUGUUGGGCGAUGCAACCGACGUUGCAUCUUCGGCGCAGCCGAGCCCCUCUCACGAUCACCAGGAAGAAGUGGGGGGUGCAGGCGGGGUUGUAGAGAAAGGAGAAGUGAACGCGAAGCGGCGGCAUCGCAUCCACGCGCUGAAAAGCUUCGCAGGUGCGGACGGCGGCGGCAGCGGUGGCAACGCCUCAGCGAGCUCGAACUAUGGAUUGGUGAUGGGUGAUCACCGGCUGUCCUUGUACGGCGACCCGGCGACGCCGGCGUCCCCGCGCGCACGUCGGAAGCGGCGGCCCGCCGUCGCUGCAUCCAGGGACGGGGCGCCAAGCCCUGCUUCGCCCCAAGCCACGCGCCAUUUCUCCUCCCAGGCGGCGCCGCAGUCGCCGUCAGCGGUAGACUACGACUUCACGUGCUCGACGGUGUCUGCGUCACCGCCGGUGUCUCUCUUAUGCCUGCCCACGCUCAUCGCCAACAGCGCCUACACUCCGCCCAGCCCACCGGUGCUUCUCAUUGACGACGUCGUGCACAAGAUCCGCUUGAGUGACGCCUAUGCCCCGUACUGCUACCGCCAUCCUUCCUACGUGUCGGCGGUGAACCCGUCCACCAACAUGGAGGGCAAGGUGCUCGACCACAUAUUAUACGAGGAUGAGCACGUCGUGUGCGGCGGGGUGCUGCGGCUCGGAGAGCGACAGGAGCUUCCGAAUGCGCGGGUGCCGAGUGAUCACUAUAUGAUCGGGAGCGUGCUGAUCCCGAUCCAGGAAUUGCACCGGGCUUGAGGCGUGGCUGGCGGUUACUGCUUGAGGGGGAGGAAGGGAUGGGGGAGUGCGCAAAAGGCGAAGAGGUGCACGGGGUAGGAUGCAUCGAUGUGCGUGCGCAGCGCGAGGCAUACAAACCACAUCUUUUUAUUUUGUCGUUUCGCUGGCUGUCAUCCGUUUCUCGCACAUCCACGUUUACUCCGAUUUGACGGCUUCCUUUGGCUUUCUCGAAGACGCUAUACAUGCACUCACGGACACACACACACACACACAUACACUCGCAUAAGAAGUGUACACACUCAAAUCACCAGUUAUGACGGAGAUGUGCGUGUAAGAACAGAAGAAGAAGUGAAGAUAGCCAUCUUGGUCUCUUUGUUGUUGUUUUCCUUCUACGCGGGAGCACAGUGUGCUGGUGGGUACGGAGCAACGAGGGGGAGAUGGGUAGGUCUUGCUGAGGUGGCAGGUUCCUGUGGGUGCGUGUGUGGAGUUGUGUAGGAUCUAGUGGACGAGGGACGUAUGCCACUUGCAUCUGAUGUGCUCCUUCCCGUCGGUUUACGUCUUUUGAUUUUGAUUCCAUGUAAGGCUUUGAAAAUCGCUUUUUGGUUGCAACUCUGGUUGCCUUCUCCUCCUUCUCCUCGCCUUCUCCCUCUCUGCCGCCCCCCCCCCCCGCGAAACCCAUACUUGCGUGUAUUCACCUCUCUCACUCUAUCCGUGUGUGCGUCUGUGUCUGUACGUAUGUGCGCGUAGACGUCUGCGCUCUCUUUCUUCUUGUCAUGUACGUUCUCUCUCGCUGUCCCUCCGCUGUUUUUUCUUGUUGAAUUUCUUACUGAGUGUGCACGCUCUCUCUGCCUCUCGUCCUCCCGUCGUUUUAUGUAUUUAUGUGUGUGCGUGUAUAUGCGCGACCAAAUCGACUUCGGUUUCACCUUCGGCUUCGGUGCCUCCUUCCUCCUCGUCCUCGUUGGAUGUUCUGUCUGUAAUCGCCUUUUUUUUUACGGCGGUAGUGGAUAUGUGAAUGCUGUUGUUAAUACCGCUGCUGUUGUGGGGCAGGUCUCCUCUCUCUGUGUGUAGCAUGUACUACUACUAUUUUUGCUUCGCUCUCCUCUUUUUUUUCGUAUGUUGUUUGGAGUUGAUAUGGUCUUCUUUGCCCCUACCGCCCGUCCUCCACCUUGUUUUCUUCCCAGCGCUGUCCGCGCACUCUGCACUGGGCUCUCUCUUUCUGUGUCUUGUGCUUUUAUGAACGACUGUGUUCUGAGGAAGAGGGAGACAUGUCGACCGGCCACUGUCGGUGCCCGUCUCAUUGGCCUCGUGGUGGUGGAGGGAGAGCAAAGGUAAUGAGAGGGGCGGUAUACACUUCCCAUCUCUCGUCUUGUCGUUGCUGUCGUCCUCCACUUCCAUGACCGUCAUCCUUCUCCCACCCUCCCGGACCCCUCGCCUCUCUCUCGUUGUCCACCACCUCGUCAACGCUUUUUUUUCAACGCUGCCGCACUUUUCGCGUCUAACUUCAGUGUUGUCCUCGCGUUUCCCAUAGAUGCAAUACGUAAAGGAAAGAGAGCAGCACACAACCCUCCUCCUCUCCCAUGCGUGUGCGGUGCGCAGCACCAGAGGGACUUCAAAAGAAGAAUAAAAAAGUGGCUGAUGGGGAAGAUGAGUGAUGGUGGUGGCUCUAUGCAGUGCUUUACUGUCUUGCUACAGCUUCUCACUUCCAUGGUGCCGCUCCUCCUCAUUUUUCCUGCUCAUCAUCUCUCCCUCUUCUUUUGAUAUCCCGUGAGCCGAGUGUUGCUGCUGUUGCCGGCUGAAGCGUAAUUAUGUCUGUACGUGUCUUCGUCUCCCACCUCCCCACUCCUCUUCCCUGUCGUGUGCGGUGCUCUCUCGAGCUUCUCUCGGAGUCGCGGCCUCCCUCCUCCCUCCUCCCUCCUCCCUCCUCCUCCUCCUCCCUCCUCCCUCCUCCUUCCUUCCUUCCUGCCGCCCCCUCUUUUUCUUUGAGCGAAUUUUUCCCAUGUGUUUCCUUGCCUCUUGGUUCUUCUUCCACGCCAUUCAGACUUCCCGCAUGUACAUGGUUCAUUCUACUCUAUCCAUCUCGUUUUGCCUUCCCGUGCUACACGAAUGUGUGUCUCUCUCCGCUUCACAAUGCCCGAACGCGCACGCAUCAACGCAUAAAAAAUUUCAGAAUGC
RNAcentral lists this unclassified non-coding RNA (7979 nucleotides) under Leishmania donovani. Its description in RNAcentral is "gene:LdHU3.28.1190(CDS-product:endonuclease/exonu clease/phosphatase-like_protein)". Lineage: Eukaryota; Euglenozoa; Kinetoplastea; Trypanosomatida; Trypanosomatidae. The record is from RNAcentral.